RNAcentral lists this ribosomal RNA (637 nucleotides) under uncultured marine eukaryote. RNAcentral's name for it is "SSU rRNA". It matches the Rfam family "Eukaryotic small subunit ribosomal RNA", at positions 616 to 1251 of the family's 1831-position model. The record is from RNAcentral.
CAGUUAAAAAGCUCGUAGUUGGAUUUCUGUGGGGGCGGAGCGGCCGGCCGCAACUUGCGGUUCGAGCUAGCGCUUCCCCCACAUCCUGCCGCGAACCGUGCUACCAUUAGUUUGGUGGCGCCGGGGAUCGGCUCGUUUACUUUGAGAAAAAUAGAGUGUUCAAAGCAGGCCACACGCCUUGAAUAAGUUAGCAUGGAAUAAUAAUAAAGGACUUCGGUUCUAUUUUGUUGGUGUUCGGGACUGAAGUAAUGAUUGAUAGGGACAGUUGGGGCGGUCAGUAUUCCAAAGCGAGAGGUGAAAUUCUUAGACCUUCGGAAGACUAACAGCUGCGAAAGCGUUCCGCAAGGAUGUUCCCUUUGAUCAAGAACGAAAGUUGGGGGAUCGAAGACGAUCAGAUACCGUCGUAGUCUCAACUAUAAACUAUACCAGCUAGGGAUCGGUCAACGUUAAAUUAUUCGACUUGAUCGGCACCUUAUGAGAAAUCAAAGCAUCUGGGUUCCGGGGGGAGUAUGGUCGCAAGGCUGAAACUUUAAAGGAAUUGACGGAAGGGCACCACCAGCCGUGGAGCCUGUGGCUUAAUUUGACUCAACACGGGAAAACUUACCAGGUCCAGACAUAGUAAGGAUUGACAGAUUGA